Molecule: ribosomal RNA, 1687 nt
Filed under: Klebsiella quasipneumoniae
Lineage: Bacteria; Pseudomonadati; Pseudomonadota; Gammaproteobacteria; Enterobacterales; Enterobacteriaceae
Description: bacterial LSU rRNA
Rfam family: Bacterial large subunit ribosomal RNA
Source: RNAcentral
UGCUGGAGGUAUCAGAAGUGCGAAUGCUGACAUAAGUAACGAUAAAGCGGGUGAAAAGCCCGCUCGCCGGAAGACCAAGGGUUCCUGUCCAACGUUAAUCGGGGCAGGGUGAGUCGACCCCUAAGGCGAGGCCGAAAGGCGUAGUCGAUGGGAAACAGGUUAAUAUUCCUGUACUUGGUGUUACUGCGAAGGGGGGACGGAGAAGGCUAUGUUAGCCGGGCGACGGUUGUCCCGGUUUAAGCAUGUAGGCUGGUUAUCCAGGCAAAUCCGGAUAAUCAAGGCUGAGGUGUGAUGACGAGGUACUACGGUGCUGAAGUAACAAAUGCCCUGCUUCCAGGAAAAGCCUCUAAGCAUCAGGUAACAUCAAAUCGUACCCCAAACCGACACAGGUGGUCAGGUAGAGAAUACCAAGGCGCUUGAGAGAACUCGGGUGAAGGAACUAGGCAAAAUGGUGCCGUAACUUCGGGAGAAGGCACGCUGGUGUGUAGGUGAAGUCCCUGCGGAUGGAGCUGAGACCAGUCGAAGAUACCAGCUGGCUGCAACUGUUUAUUAAAAACACAGCACUGUGCAAACACGAAAGUGGACGUAUACGGUGUGACGCCUGCCCGGUGCCGGAAGGUUAAUUGAUGGGGUUAUCCGUAAGGAGAAGCUCUUGAUCGAAGCCCCGGUAAACGGCGGCCGUAACUAUAACGGUCCUAAGGUAGCGAAAUUCCUUGUCGGGUAAGUUCCGACCUGCACGAAUGGCGUAAUGAUGGCCAGGCUGUCUCCACCCGAGACUCAGUGAAAUUGAACUCGCUGUGAAGAUGCAGUGUACCCGCGGCAAGACGGAAAGACCCCGUGAACCUUUACUAUAGCUUGACACUGAACAUUGAGCCUUGAUGUGUAGGAUAGGUGGGAGGCUUUGAAGCGUGGACGCCAGUCUGCGUGGAGCCAACCUUGAAAUACCACCCUUUAAUGUUUGAUGUUCUAACGUAGGCCCCUUAUCGGGGUUGCGGACAGUGUCUGGUGGGUAGUUUGACUGGGGCGGUCUCCUCCCAAAGCGUAACGGAGGAGCACGAAGGUUAGCUAAUCCUGGUCGGACAUCAGGAGGUUAGUGCAAUGGCAUAAGCUAGCUUGACUGCGAGCGUGACGGCGCGAGCAGGUGCGAAAGCAGGUCAUAGUGAUCCGGUGGUUCUGAAUGGAAGGGCCAUCGCUCAACGGAUAAAAGGUACUCCGGGGAUAACAGGCUGAUACCGCCCAAGAGUUCAUAUCGACGGCGGUGUUUGGCACCUCGAUGUCGGCUCAUCACAUCCUGGGGCUGAAGUAGGUCCCAAGGGUAUGGCUGUUCGCCAUUUAAAGUGGUACGCGAGCUGGGUUUAGAACGUCGUGAGACAGUUCGGUCCCUAUCUGCCGUGGGCGCUGGAGAAUUGAGGGGGGCUGCUCCUAGUACGAGAGGACCGGAGUGGACGCAUCACUGGUGUUCGGGUUGUCAUGCCAAUGGCACUGCCCGGUAGCUAAAUGCGGAAGAGAUAAGUGCUGAAAGCAUCUAAGCACGAAACUUGCCCCGAGAUGAGUUCUCCCUGAGACUUUAAGUCUCCUGAAGGAACGUUGAAGACGACGACGUUGAUAGGCCGGGUGUGUAAGCGCAGCGAUGCGUUGAGCUAACCGGUACUAAUGAACCGUGAGGCUUAACCUUACAACGCCGAAG